AUUAAUUCCACCCCUAGAGAUUCGUCUCGCUAGCCUAAAUCGACCUUGUGAUGAGCUGCGCUCCACCCACAACAGUCAACAAUAUAAGAGCCUCGCUCUCCCAGUUAUAUAAUUCUGGCUCACCGCGAGGCUCAUUUCACAUUUUCGGCCAGUAAUUGUCUCUAAUACCAACUGUGACGCCCUAACUUUCCUGGGGGUCACCCGACUACUUCCAUCAUAACACACUUAACUCUCUUAACUUCUUGAGCUUAGUCACCACCAAAAUGCUUAAGCCGGGUUAAGAGUUUUAACCCUAUAUAGAACUAUCUAGGUCUCACAUUAAUUGCAUACAACUCUCUGUAAACAAAUCAAAUAAUAGAUAUAUCCCUAUAAAAGUUUAAUUUUUUAUAGUUAUCCCUACAAAAGUCCUACCAUUUUCAAAUAUCCCUACGUUGUUACCAUCAUACAGUUAAUUAUAAGUAAAAUAUUUAAUCCGGGUUACUGGAUAGGUUAAAUUGAUGUUUUUACCCUUUUUAUGUUAUUGGAUAAAAAUAAUUUUUAGAGGACAUUUCUGCAUAAUGGGCUUUUAGAGAGAUAUAUUUAUAAAAGCAAAAAUAUCUUUUUUUUAUUUACUGUUAAAAAGAAUUAUGCUACUAUACUAUCAAUAGUACCAAGUCCUUAGUACUAUUGAGUUUUCGGCCGUUUGAUGAAAAGAUGAGUGGUUAUGAUGAUAAUGAUCUCCUAGGGUUGAGUGGGUGGUUGGUUUAAUAGUAUAAUCUAAUGGGUGGAAAUGAUAAAAGGAUAGAUUUGACGGUAGAAAACUCAAUAGUAUCAAGAGCUUAGUAUUAUCGAUAGUAUAGUAGUCGGACUCCUGUUAAAAAAUAAAAAGUCCUCUAACAAUAACAAACCAGAGCAACAAAUAUGGAUAUCACUAGGCUUUUGCAAGGGUAACAAUAAAAAAUUAAACUUUAUAGGAAUAUAUGCCUGCUAUUCGAUAUAUUUAUAGGGUGUUGUAUGCAAUUAACCCAAUCUAAAAAUAUGGUCCAAUUUUAUAAAAAUUAAAACUAAUAAAAAAAAUUUGCUUUUAUAUAUGCAGAAACUUUCUGUAAAUAUUUAUUUUUUAAAAUUUUUUCUAACUUUCAAAAAUUUUUAUUUUUUUUCUUAAAAUNGAGCCCGGCUACUAUACUUUUAUGAGUAUAGUCCUCUUUAUACUCAUAAAUUUUUUACCGUUAGAUCUACUUCUUUGAUCAUUUCCAUCCGUUAAAUCAUACUAUUUAACCAACCACCCACUCAACUCUAGGGAACCACUAUUAACCUAACCGGGGACUAUUAUCAUCCUAACCUCACAUCAUUUUAUCCAAUGGUCGAAAACUUAUGAGUACAAAGGGGCUACACUCAUAAGAGUAUAGUAGCCCUAGACUAUAUGAGCCCGGCUACUAUACUUUUAUGAGUAUAGUCCUCUUUAUACUCAUAAAUUUUUUACCGUUAGAUCUACUUCUUUGAUCAUUUCCAUCCGUUAAAUCAUACUAUUUAACCAACCACCCACUCAACUCUAGGGAACCACUAUUAACCUAACCGGGGACUAUUAUCAUCCUAACCUCACAUCUUUUUAUCCAAUGGUCGAAAACUU
Molecule: long non-coding RNA, 1609 nt
Filed under: Ananas comosus (pineapple)
Lineage: Eukaryota; Viridiplantae; Streptophyta; Magnoliopsida; Poales; Bromeliaceae
Description: long non-coding RNA (ACOM_LNC018432)
Source: RNAcentral